RNAcentral lists this ribosomal RNA (1380 nucleotides) under uncultured bacterium. RNAcentral describes it as "bacterial SSU rRNA". It matches the Rfam family "Bacterial small subunit ribosomal RNA", at positions 8 to 1360 of the family's 1533-position model. The record is from RNAcentral.
AGAGUUUGAUCCUGGCUCAGAACGAACGCUGGCAGCGUGGAUGAGGCAUGCAAGUCGAACGGGAUCGAGUCUAGUAGUAAUACCUGACUCGUGAGAGUGGCGGAAGGGCGAGUAAUGCGAGAGUAAGCUACCCUUCAGUUCGGGACAACGUUUGGAAACGGACGCUAAUACCGGAUACGAAGUACGGACGAAUGUUCGUAUCUUGAAAGAUGGGGACCCGCAAGGGCCUGUUGCUGGAGGAGGUGCUCCCGUGCCAUCAGCUUGUUGGUGAGGUAAUGGCUCACCAAGGCUUACGGCUAGGUGGACUGAGAGGUUGGUCACCCGCACUGGGACUGAGACACUGCCCAGACUCCUACGGGAGGCUGCAGUCGAGGAUCAUUCGCAAUGCGCGAAAGCGUGACGAUGCGACGCUGCGUGGAGGAUGAAGGCCCUCGGGUCGUAAACUCCUGUCAUGAGGGAAAAGUGGAUACCCGCUAAUACCGGGUUAUCUUUGAUGGUACCUCAAGAGGAAGCCACGGCUAACUCUGUGCCAGCAGCCGCGGUAAUACAGAGGUGGCUAGCGUUGUUCGGAUUUACUGGGCGUAAAGCGUGCGUAGGCGGUCGCGUGUGUCGGAUGUGAAAUCCCGGGGCUCACCCCUGGAAGUGCAUCCGAAACUGCGUGGCUUGAGUCUGGGAUGGGUGACUGGAACACAUGGUGUAGCGGUGAAAUGCGUUGAUAUCAUGUGGAACACCGGAGGCGAAAGCGAGUCACUGGAACAGAACUGACGCUGAGGCACGAAAGCGUGGGGAGCAAACAGGAUUAGAUACCCUGGUAGUCCACGCUGUAAACGAUGGAUACUAGGUGUAGGAGGUAUCGACCCUCUCUGUGCCGGAGUUAACACAAUAAGUAUCCCACCUGGGGAGUACGGCCGCAAGGCUGAAACUCAAAGGAAUUGACGGGGGCCCGCACAAGCAGUGGAGUAUGUGGUUUAAUUUGAAGCAACGCGAAGAACCUUACCAGGGCUUGACAUCCCUCUGACUGGCUUAGAGAUAAGCCUUUUCUUCGGAACAGAGGUGACAGGUGGUGCAUGGUUGUCGUCAGCUCGUGUCGUGAGAUGUUGGGUUAAGUCCCGCAACGAGCGCAACCCCCGUUGUUAGUUGCCAUCAUUAAGUUGGGCACUCUAACGAGACUGCCGGUGACAAAUCGGAGGAAGGUGGGGGGGACGUCAAAUCAUCAUGCCCCCUAUGUCCUGGGCUACACACGUACUACAAUGGCGACUACAGAGGGCAGCAACAUCGCGAGGUAGAGCAAAUCCCCAAAAGUCGCCCCAGUUCGGAUUGCAGGCUGAAACUCGCCUGCAUGAAGUCGGAAUUGCUAGUAAUGGCAGGUCAGCAUACUGC